RNAcentral lists this ribosomal RNA (534 nucleotides) under bacterium T-2-0-2D. Its description in RNAcentral is "bacterial SSU rRNA". It matches the Rfam family "Bacterial small subunit ribosomal RNA", at positions 371 to 896 of the family's 1533-position model. The record is from RNAcentral.
AUGGGGGGAACCCUGAUCCAGCCAUGCCGCGUGUGUGAAGAAGGCCUUUUGGUUGUAAAGCACUUUAAGCGAGGAGGAGGAGCUCUUGGUUAAUACCCAAGAUGCUUGGACGUUACUCGCAGAAUAAGCACCGGCUAACUCUGUGCCAGCAGCCGCGGUAAUACAGAGGGUGCAAGCGUUAAUCGGAUUUACUGGGCGUAAAGCGCGCGUAGGUGGCCAAUUAAGUCAAAUGUGAAAUCCCCGAGCUUAACUUGGGAAUUGCAUUCGAUACUGGUUGGCUAGAGUAUGGGAGAGGAUGGUAGAAUUCCAGGUGUAGCGGUGAAAUGCGUAGAGAUCUGGAGGAAUACCGAUGGCGAAGGCAGCCAUCUGGCCUAAUACUGACACUGAGGUGCGAAAGCAUGGGGAGCAAACAGGAUUAGAUACCCUGGUAGUCCAUGCCGUAAACGAUGUCUACUAGCCGUUGGGGCCUUUGAGGCUUUAGUGGCGCAGCUAACGCGAUAAGUAGACCGCCUGGGGAGUACGGUCGCAAGACUA